AUUGAACGCUGGCGGCAGGCCUAACACAUGCAAGUCGAACGAGUGGCGGACGGGUGAGUAAUGCUUGGGAAUCUGGCUUAUGGAGGGGGAUAACGACGGGAAACUGUCGCUAAUACCGCAUACCAUCGGAUGAGCCCAAGUGGGAUUAGGUAGUAGGUGGGGUAAUGGCGCACCAGGCCGACGAUCCCUAGCUGGUCUGAGAGGAUGACCAGCCACACCGGAACUGAGACACGGCCCAGACUCCUACGGGAGGAAGCAGUGGGGAAUAUUGCGAAAUGGGGGCAAGCCUGACGCAGCCAUGCCGCGUGAAUGAAGAAGGCCUUCGGGUUGUAAAGUACUUUCGGUGAGGAGGCGUUAAUCACAGAAGAAGCACCGGCUAACUCCGUGCCAGCAGCCGCGGUAAUAC
Molecule: ribosomal RNA, 406 nt
Filed under: uncultured bacterium
Lineage: Bacteria
Description: partial 16S ribosomal RNA
Rfam family: Bacterial small subunit ribosomal RNA
Source: RNAcentral